ACGUAGGGGGCUAGCGUUAUCCGGAUUUACUGGGCGUAAAGGGUGCGUAGGCGGUCUUUCAAGUCAGGAGUGAAAGGCUACGGCUCAACCGUAGUAAGCUCUUGAAACUGGGAGACUUGAGUGCAGGAGAGGCGAGUGGAAUUCCUAGUGUAGCGGUGAAAUGCGUAGAUAUUAGGAGGAACACCAGUUGCGAAGGCGGCUCUCUGGACUGUAACUGACGCUGAGGCACGAAAGCGUGGGGAGCAAACAGGAUUAGAUACCCUGGUAGUCCACGCUGUAAACGAUGAGUACUAGGUGUCGGGGGUUACGCCCCUCGGUGCCGCAGCUAACGCAUGAAGUACUCCGCCUGGGAAGUACGCUCGCAAGAG
Molecule: ribosomal RNA, 368 nt
Filed under: Clostridioides difficile
Lineage: Bacteria; Bacillati; Bacillota; Clostridia; Peptostreptococcales; Peptostreptococcaceae
Description: bacterial SSU rRNA
Rfam family: Bacterial small subunit ribosomal RNA
Source: RNAcentral